RNAcentral lists this ribosomal RNA (480 nucleotides) under uncultured bacterium. Its description in RNAcentral is "partial 16S ribosomal RNA". It matches the Rfam family "Bacterial small subunit ribosomal RNA", at positions 28 to 523 of the family's 1533-position model. The record is from RNAcentral.
GAUGAACGCUGGCGGCGUGCCUAACACAUGCAAGUCGAACGAUGAAACCGCCCUCGGGCGGACAUGAAGUGGCGAACGGGUGAGUAACACGUGACCGACCUGCCCCCCGCCCAGGGACAGCCCCCCGAAAGGGGGAUUAAUACCUGGUACUCCGGAAGCGGCCCAUGCCGCCCCCGGGAAAGCCCUGGCGGCGGGGGAUGGGGUCGCGGCCCAUCAGGUAGACGGCGGGGUAGGAGCCCACCGUGCCGACGACGGGUAGCCGGGUUGAGAGACCGACCGGCCACAUUGGGACUGAGAUACGGCCCAGACUCCUACGGGAGGCAGCAGUGGGGAAUUUUGCGCAAUGGGGGCAACCCUGACGCAGCAACGCCGCGUGCGGGACGAAGGCGUCCGCGUCGUAAACCGCUUUCAGCGGGGAACACUUUUCGAGGGUACCCGCAGAAGAAGCCCCGGCUAAAUACGUGCCAGCCGCCGCAGUAA